Molecule: transfer RNA, 75 nt
Filed under: Actinoplanes teichomyceticus
Lineage: Bacteria; Bacillati; Actinomycetota; Actinomycetes; Micromonosporales; Micromonosporaceae
Description: tRNA-Ser
Source: RNAcentral
CGGUGGUGGCCGAGGCCGCGACCGCCCGGUUGCUGGCCGGGCUGGGCGAGCCGUUCCGGAUCGGCGACCAGCAGC